GAUGAAGAACGCAGCGAAAUGCGAUAAGUAAUGUGAAUUGCAGAAUUCAGUGAAUCAUCGAAUCUUUGAACGCACAUUGCGCCCCCUGGUAUUCCGGGGGGCAUGCCUGUUCGAGCGUCAUUUCACCACUCAAGCCUCGCUUGGUAUUGGGCAACGCGGUCCGCCGCGUGCCUCAAAUCGACCGGCUGGGUCUUCUAUCCCCUAAGCGUUGUGGAAACUAUUCGCUAAAGGGUGUUCGGGAGGCUACGCCGUAAAACAACCCCAUUUCUAAGGUUGACCUCGGAUCAGGUAGGGAUACCCGCUGAACUUAAGCAUAUCAAUAAGCGGAGGA
This 331-nucleotide unclassified non-coding RNA is filed under the name soil metagenome. RNAcentral's name for it is "partial contains 5.8S ribosomal RNA, internal transcribed spacer 2, and large subunit ribosomal RNA". The stretch from base 1 to 120 matches the Rfam family "5.8S ribosomal RNA", at positions 35 to 154 of the family's 154-position model. The record is from RNAcentral.